RNAcentral lists this non-coding RNA (950 nucleotides) under Grammistes sexlineatus. Its description in RNAcentral is "12S ribosomal RNA". It matches the Rfam family "Bacterial small subunit ribosomal RNA". Lineage: Eukaryota; Metazoa; Chordata; Actinopteri; Perciformes; Serranidae. The record is from RNAcentral.
UAAAAGUUUGGUCCUGACUUUAUUAUCAACUAUAGCUAAACUUACACAUGCAAGCAUCCGCACCCCUGUGAAGUACGCCCUACGCAUCUCCCCCAGAGAACGAGGAGCAGGCAUCAGGCACAAACACAUUUAGCCCAUGACGCUUUGCUAAGCCACACCCCCACGGGAACUCAGCAGUGAUAAACAUUAAGCCAUAAGCGAAAGCUUGACUUAGUUAAAGUUAAGAGGGCCGGUAAAACUCGUGCCAGCCACCGCGGUUAUACGAGAGGCCCAAGUUGAUAACAGUCGGCGUAAAGCGUGGUUAGGACAUCAACCCUACUAAAGUCGAAUGUCCUCAAAGCUGUUAUACGCACCCGAGGAUAAGAAGUUCAAAUACGAAAGUAACUUUAUAAUGUCUGAACCCACGAAAGCUACGGCACAAACUGGGAUUAGAAACCCCACUAUGCCUAGCCCUAAACAUUGGCAACACAAAACACCCGUUGCCCGCCCGGGCACUACGAGCAUUAGCUUAAAACCCAAAGGACUUGGCGGUGCUUUAGACCCACCUAGAGGAGCCUGUUCUAGAACCGAUACCCCCCGUUAAACCUCACCCUUUCUUGUCAUUACCGCCUAUAUACCGCCGUCGUCAGCUUACCCUGUGAAGGAUUAGUAGUAAGCAAAGUUGUCACAACCCAAAACGUCAGGUCGAGGUGUAGCCUAUGAAAGGGGAAGAAAUGGGCUACAUUCACUAAUUAAGAGAAUACGAACGAUGUGUUGAAACACACACCCAAAGGAGGAUUUAGCAGUAAGCAAAAAAUAGAGCGUUUUGCUGAAAAUGGCCCUGAAGCGCGCACACACCGCCCGUCACUCUCCCCAAGCUAACGACUAAAUAUAAUUAAAGCCUAAUAACUGCAAAGGGGAGGCAAGUCGUAACAUGGUAAGUGUACCGGAAAGUGCACUUGGAAAAACCA